Molecule: ribosomal RNA, 305 nt
Filed under: uncultured bacterium
Lineage: Bacteria
Description: bacterial SSU rRNA
Rfam family: Bacterial small subunit ribosomal RNA
Source: RNAcentral
GGUCUACGGGAGGCAGCAGUGGGGAAUAUUGCACAAUGGGGGAAACCCUGAUGCAGCGACGCCGCGUGAGUGAAGAAGUAUUUCGGUACGUAAAGCUCUAUCAGCAGGGAAGAAAUAAAGUCCUUUGGACUUUGGACGGUACCUGACUAAGAAGCCCCGGCUAACUACGUGCCAGCAGCCGCGGUAAUACGUAGGGGGCAAGCGUUAUCCGGAUUUACUGGGUGUAAAGGGAGCGUAGACGGCGAUGCAAGUCUGAAGUGAAAGCCCGGGGCUCAACCCCGGGACUGCUUUGGAAACUGUAUGGC